GUGCUGACUUUGGCAGCACAUACACUAAAAUUGUAAUGAUACAGAGAUUAGCAUGGCCCCUGUGCAAGGAUAAUGAGCAAAUUCAUGAAGUGUACCAUAUUUUU
Molecule: small nuclear RNA, 104 nt
Filed under: Dasypus novemcinctus (nine-banded armadillo)
Lineage: Eukaryota; Metazoa; Chordata; Mammalia; Cingulata; Dasypodidae
Source: RNAcentral